Molecule: long non-coding RNA, 529 nt
Organism: Haliotis rubra (blacklip abalone)
Lineage: Eukaryota; Metazoa; Mollusca; Gastropoda; Lepetellida; Haliotidae
Exons: 5
Source: RefSeq, a predicted model, not a curated record
GAUGCACCACGAAUGAAGCUUAAACAGAUCGUCAUCGUGGUCCAGAUCAACCAGAGCCAUGAUAAUCAUCAAUCUUAUCCUGUUGAUACUCAUAUUUGAUACACACGGCCAGAUGUUUUGCAACUGGGGAAAGUAUGGAGAAGACUGCAGCAAAAACUGCCCUCAGACCUGUAUGCCAGACACCAACAGGAAUCUCAUACACUGCCAGAAGGAGACAGGGAGGUGUUCUGAGGGCUGUGUUCCUGGCUGGUUUGACGAUCUCUGUGACAAGGCUUGCAGCAAGAACUGCUUGAAAAAAAAUCUGUAAUCGUCAAAAUGGCAUCUGCACGCAUCGAUGUAGAGGGAACUACACAGGAGACUUUUGCAACACUCCUCCAGGCACAUCAGCGCCACCUCCCAGGGAAGUCACCACUCAUACGUCCACGACACAUGUACCUCCAUCAACCCCCACAGAAACCUCGAACCUGGCUGUCAUCCUUGUCCCUGUGUUCCUCGUCGUGACUGUAACCUUGGCUGUGUUCGUGUUCAU